This 73-nucleotide transfer RNA is filed under the name Escherichia coli CE516. Its description in RNAcentral is "tRNA-Val". It matches the Rfam family "tRNA". Rfam says of the family: Transfer RNA (tRNA) molecules are approximately 80 nucleotides in length. Lineage: Bacteria; Pseudomonadati; Pseudomonadota; Gammaproteobacteria; Enterobacterales; Enterobacteriaceae. The record is from RNAcentral.
GGGUGAUUAGCUCAGCUGGGAGAGCACCUCCCUUACAAGGAGGGGGUCGGCGGUUCGAUCCCGUCGUCACCCA